UCCAGUAUGGCUUUGUUGAUCAUGAGGU
This 28-nucleotide non-coding RNA is filed under the name Bombyx mori (domestic silkworm). Lineage: Eukaryota; Metazoa; Arthropoda; Insecta; Lepidoptera; Bombycidae. The record is from RNAcentral.